This 74-nucleotide non-coding RNA is filed under the name unclassified sequences. RNAcentral describes it as "freshwater-2 RNA". It matches the Rfam family "freshwater-2 RNA". From Rfam's summary of the family: Aquatic, esp. fresh water. No recognized genes The record is from RNAcentral.
AAAUACAAUGUCGUUUUUUAUUAUGCAGCACCCACUGCGUAGACCUAGAACGUCAUUUAAGGAGAAAACAAAUG